CCUACGGGAGGCAGCAGUAGGGAAUCUUCCACAAUGGGCGAAAGCCUGAUGGAGCAACGCCGCGUGAGUGAUGAAGGCCUUCGGGUUGUAAAACUCUGUCAUUCGGGACGAACCGGAGUCUGAGGAAAUGCAGACUCUCUGACGGUACCGGAGGAGGAAGCCCCGGCUAACUACGUGCCAGCAGCCGCGGUAAUACGUAGGGGGCAAGCGUUGUCCGGAUUCACUGGGCGUAAAGCGCGCGCAGGCGGUGAUGUAAGUCUGAGGUGAAAACCCGAAGCUCAACUUCGGGACUGCCUUGGAUACUGCGUCACUUGAGGAUAGGAGAGGCAAGGGGAAUUCCACGUGUAGCGGUGAAAUGCGUAGAGAUGUGGAGGAACACCUGUGGCGAAGGCGCCUUGCUGGCCUAUUUCUGACGCUGAGGCGCGAAAGCGUGGGGAGCAAACAGGAUUAGAUACCCUGGUAGUCCACGCUGUAAACGAUGAGUGCUAGGUGUAGGUGGGCUCAUACCCAUCUGUGCCGAAGCUAACGCAUUAAGCACUCCGCCUGGGGAGUACGGUCGCGAGCUGAAACUCAAAUGAAUUGACGGCUUGAGGACGNGCGAGGCGACGACGAGGGAGAGG
RNAcentral lists this ribosomal RNA (620 nucleotides) under uncultured bacterium. Its description in RNAcentral is "bacterial SSU rRNA". It matches the Rfam family "Bacterial small subunit ribosomal RNA", at positions 338 to 950 of the family's 1533-position model. The record is from RNAcentral.